UGCGUAGGUUGUUUUGUAAGUUGACUGUGAAAGUCCUGGGCUCAACCUAGGGAUGUCAGUUAAGACUGUAAGACUUGAGUAUGGGAGAGGGUAGUGGAAUUUCCGGUGUAGCGGUGAAAUGCGUAGAUAUCGGAAGGAACACCGGUGGCGAAGGCGUCUACCUGGCCUGAUACUGACACUGAAGCACGAAAGCGUGGGAAGCAAACAG
Molecule: ribosomal RNA, 208 nt
Filed under: uncultured bacterium
Lineage: Bacteria
Description: partial 16S ribosomal RNA
Rfam family: Bacterial small subunit ribosomal RNA
Source: RNAcentral